Molecule: long non-coding RNA, 265 nt
Filed under: Malus domestica (apple)
Lineage: Eukaryota; Viridiplantae; Streptophyta; Magnoliopsida; Rosales; Rosaceae
Description: long non-coding RNA (MDOM_LNC009644)
Source: RNAcentral
UUUCCACCUUGCAAAUGUCCUGCAACCUGCAUUAUUUUUAGUUCUUUCACUUUGCACUGCUGCCCUUAAUAAUCAACAUAAGCGUACCAAUUAGUUUUAACAAUAAUUGAAACUUGAUGGUGUUUGGGAUAAAAUCUGAACUUUGGGCCAGAGAGAAAGUCGACCCAAACCCAAGGCCCAGAGGAAAACUUAGGAGGCAGGAAAGAGGCUUUCGGUUGGGCACAAGUUACAAAGGCCACCUGCUUACCUACUCAAAGACCACAGG